GACGAACGCUGGCGGCGUGCCUAAUACAUGCAAGUAGAACGCACAGUUUAUACCGUAGCUUGCUACACCAUACACUGUGAGUUGCGAACGGGUGAGUAACGCGUAGGUAACCUGCCUGGUAGCGGGGGAUAACUAUUGGAAACGAUAGCUAAUACCGCAUAAUAUUGAUUAUUGCAUGAUAAUUGAUUGAAAGAUGCUAUUGCAUCACUACCAGAUGGACCUGCGUUGUAUUAGCUAGUAGGUGAGGUAACGGCUCACCUAGGCGACGAUACAUAGCCGACCUGAAAGGGUGAGCGGCCAAGCUGGGACGGAGACACGGCCCAGACUCCUGCGGGAGGCAGCAGUAGGGAAUCUUCGGCAAUGGACGAAAGUCUGACCGAGCAACGCCGCGUGAGUGAAGAAGGUUUUCGGAUCGUAAAGCUCUGUUGUAAGAGAAGAACGGGUGUGAGAGUGGAAAGUUCACACUGUGACGGUAUCUUACCAGAAAGGGACGGCUAACUACGUG
This 505-nucleotide ribosomal RNA is filed under the name uncultured bacterium. Its description in RNAcentral is "partial 16S ribosomal RNA". It matches the Rfam family "Bacterial small subunit ribosomal RNA", at positions 28 to 507 of the family's 1533-position model. The record is from RNAcentral.